GAUGAAGAACGCAGCGAAAUGCGAUAAGUAAUGUGAAUUGCAGAAUUCAGUGAAUCAUCGAAUCUUUGAACGCACAUUGCGCCCGCCAGUAUUCUGGCGGGCAUGCCUGUUCGAGCGUCAUUUCAACCAUCAAGCCCCCCGGCUUGAGUUGGGGACCUGCGGCUGCCGCAGGCCCUGAAAAGCAGUGGCGGGCUCGCUGUCACACCGAGCGUAGUAGCAUACAUCUCGCUCUGGGCGUGCUGCGGGUUCCGGCCGUUAAACCACCUUCAUAACCCAAGGUUGACCUCGGAUCAGGUAGGAAGACCCGCUGAACUUAAGCAUAUCAAUAAGCGGAGGA
RNAcentral lists this unclassified non-coding RNA (337 nucleotides) under soil metagenome. RNAcentral describes it as "partial contains 5.8S ribosomal RNA, internal transcribed spacer 2, and large subunit ribosomal RNA". The stretch from base 1 to 120 matches the Rfam family "5.8S ribosomal RNA", at positions 35 to 154 of the family's 154-position model. The record is from RNAcentral.